AGGGGGGUCUGCUCUGUGCAGUGAAGCUUCUCUUCUUGGCACCUGCCUGGCAUCGGAAAAGGGCCCCUUCUCCCUCCCUGGGCUAUGUGGACACUGUAAUGCCUCAGUAUUCUUUCUUUCUUUUUGUUUUUGACACAGGAUCUCACUCUAUCACCCAAGCUGGAGUGCAGUGGUACCAUCAUAGCUCACUGCAGCCUCAAACUCCCCAGCUCGGGUGAUCCUCCCUGCCUCAGCCUCCUGAGUUGUAGUAGCUGGGACCACAGACGUCUGCCACCAAGCCCAGCCGCACCGCCAGUUCCGGGGAGGGCCCUGGGCCAGCGGCUGUCCGCCCCGCCUCCUUUAUAAAGUCCUGGCCUCGGGACAGCCCGCACAGCUGCCCAGCCUGGGCUGACGGGACAGCCCUGACCCACUCACUCUUUCCCCUGCCGCUCCUGCCGGCAGCUCAGCUCGAACCAUGGGAGGCCGCGUCUUUCUCGCAUUCUGUGUCUGGCUGACGCUGUCGGGAGCUGAAACCCAGGACUCCAGGGGCUGUGCCCAGUGGUGCCCUCAGAACUCCUCGUGUGUCAAUGCCACCGCCUGUCGCUGCAAUCCAGGGUUCAGCUCUUUUUCUGAGAUCAUCACCACCCCCACGGAGACUUGUGAUGACAUCAACGAGUGUGCAACACCGUCGAAAAGUGUCAUUCGGAAAAUUCUCAGACUGCAGGAAUGCAGAGGGGAGCUACCACUGCGUGUGCAGGCCGGGGUAUGAGCUUGCUUCUGGGGCAAAAACAUUCAAGAAUGAGAGCGAGAACAUGUGUCAAGAUGUGGACGAAUGUCAGCAGAACCCAAGGCUCUGUAAAAGCUACGGCACCUGUGUCAACACCCUCGGCAGCUACACGUGCCAGUGCCUACCUGGCUUCAAGCUCAAACCUGAGGACCCGAAGCUCUGCACAGAUGUGAAUGAAUGCACCUCCGGACAAAACCCGUGCCACAGCUCCACCCACUGCCUCAACAACAUGAGCAGCUAUCAGUGCCGCUGCCGCCCGGGCUGGCAACCGAUUCCAGGGUCCCCCAAUGGACCAAACAAUACCAUCUGUGAAGGUCGAGAGCUCAGAUCCCACUUUCCCAGGCACCCACAAACAUCUGAUCACAUGUUCAACGGCACCCACACAAACCAAGCAGAAUGAGCGCUGGAGGCGCCCGGCUGUGCCAGGCGUUCAUUCUUCUGAGGCUAGAUGAGAAAAGAGCAGGGGUCCUCCAGAAGGAGCUGGGGUACUGAGUGGGGAGCCUCAGGGGGACCCCAGGCAACAGCUGAUGAUUCACUGGGAGGAAGGCGUUUCACCAUAUUCAUAACCUGCACAUUUGCACGGGGCCCACCUGCUGUGCCCAGGCCUCACCACGCUUCCAUAACCCAGCGUCCACCUCUCCAAGGGGGCCACUAAUGCUGGGAAGAACAAGCUGGGGGCACAGACAGGAGACAGGACCCUCUCCAGGCUGGGGCAGGGCCUGACCCCCUUCUUCCUGUCCUCAGAUGUGGACGAGUGCAGCUCCGGGCAGCAUCAGUGUGACAGCUCCACCGUCUGCUUCAACAUCGUGGGUUCAUAUAGCUGCCGUUGCCGCCCAGGCUGGAAGCCCAAACACGGAAUCCUGAAUAACCAAAAGGACACUGUCUGUGAAGAUAUGACUUUCUCUACCUGGACCCUGCCCCCUGGAGUCCACAGCCAAAGCCUCUCCCGCUUCUUUGAUAAAGUCCAGGAUCUGGGCAGGGACUACAAGCCAGGCUUGGCCCAAUAGCUCCAUCCAGAGCAUCUUACAGGAGCUGGAUGAGCUGCUGGAGGCCCCCGGGGACCUGGAGACCCUGCCCCACUUACAGCAGCACUGUGUGGCCAGUCACCUGCUGGAUGGCGUAGAGGAUGUCCUCAGAGGCCUGAGCAAGACCCUUCCCGAUGGGCUCUUGAACUUCAGUUAUCCUGCAGGCACAGAAUUGUCCCUGGAGGUGCAGAAGCAAGUAGACAAGAAUGUCACCUUGAGACAGAAUCAGGCAAUGAUGCAGCUGGACUGGAAUCUGGCACAGAAAUCUGGUGACCCAGGUGCUGUGUGCCAUCAUCGCCGGUGCCCUGCACUACCUCUACCUGGCCGCCUUCACCUGGAUGCUGCUGGAGGCCCUGCACCUCCUCCUCACUGCACAGAAACUGACGGUGGUCAACUACUCAAGCAUCAACAGAUUCAUGAAGAAGCUCAUGUUCCCUGUGGGCUACGGAGUCCCAGCUGUGAUAGUGGCCAUCUCUGCAGCCUCCAGGCCUCACCUUUAUGGAACACCUUUCCACUGCUGGCUCCAACCAAAAAAGGGAUUUAUAUGGGGCUUCCUUGGACCUGUCUGCGCCAUCUUCUCUGAUGCUGGCAUUUAAAGCAACAGCUCAGCUGUUCAUCCUGGGCUGCACGUGGUGACUGGGCAUCUUGCAGGUGGGUCCGGCUGCCCGGGUCAUGGCCUACCUCUUCACCAUCAUCAACAGCCUGCGGGGUGUCUUCAUCUUCCUGGUGUACUGCCUCCUCAGCCAGCAGGUCCGGGAACAAUAUGGGAAAUGGUCCAAAGGGAUCAGGAAAUUGAAAACUGAGUCUGAGAUGCACACACUCUCCAGCAGCGCUAAGGCUGACACCUCCAAACCCAGCACGGUUAACUAGAAAAAUCUUCCGAAUAAGAUCUUCCCUCUUUGCCCGUGGAAAAUCUGAACAAUCUUUGAGCCAUCUAGAGGGGAAAGAAAAGACUUUGUUCUGUGUGUUUCAAGAAAUUCACCAUGUCAGCAAUAUGAAGAAUGUUAUGGAAGGCGUGCUUGGCAUUCAAUUCCUGCAGAAACCAGAAAUCUUCCAUGCCCUGCAAUGUGCUCAUCAAACUCUCAGCAUAUGGACGGCCAGCUGUGGCCCAUAUCUUGGUCACUCUGAAGCACAAUAUUUAUGAAGCUAUAGAACGUUAAGACCUCUUCCACAGCCUCUCCUUCCUAUAAAGACUCCUCCAAAUCUUAAAAUGAAGCAGGAAAAUGAGCCUAAGAGGACUUUCAUACCAACAACAUCUGAAAGGACUAGCAUGUUCACAACACGAUCUGGAUUUCUUAAUUUGUUGUUGUUGUUGUUGUUGUUGUUCUCUAGUUCUACGGGUUUGAUUAUUUAGUCAUGUGAAAAAUAUUGAUUACUCACACAUAGAUCAAGAGAGACAUGGCUCCUGCCUUCAUGGAGCUUUUAGGGGAAAAUGAAGUGGCUCUUGCAGCUAGAGUUGACUCAGAAGCUGAAAUUCCUAGAAAUCAGGUUUCUACUGCUAGGCAAUUGAAGUAUAAACUAUUUUAUAAACAC
Molecule: small RNA, 3324 nt
Filed under: Pongo abelii (Sumatran orangutan)
Lineage: Eukaryota; Metazoa; Chordata; Mammalia; Primates; Hominidae
Description: retained intron
Source: RNAcentral